CUUGGGGGGGCAGCUAACCAUGCAAGUCGAGCGGCAGCGGAAGUAGCUUGCUACUUUGCCGGCGAGCGGCGGACGGGUGAGUAAUGUCUGGGAAACUGCCUGAUGGAGGGGGAUAACUACUGGAAACGGUAGCUAAUACCGCAUAACGUCGCAAGACCAAAGAGGGGGACCUUCGGGCCUCUUGCCAUCAGAUGUGCCCAGAUGGGAUUAGCUAGUAGGUGGGGUAACGGCUCACCUAGGCGACGAUCCCUAGCUGGUCUGAGAGGAUGACCAGCCACACUGGAACUGAGACACGGUCCAGACUCCUACGGGAGGCAGCAGUGGGGAAUAUUGCACAAUGGGCGCAAGCCUGAUGCAGCCAUGCCGCGUGUAUGAAGAAGGCCUUCGGGUUGUAAAGUACUUUCAGCGGGGAGGAAGGUGUUGAGGUUAAUAACCUCAGCAAUUGACGUUACCCGCAGAAGAAGCACCGGCUAACUCCGUGCCAGCAGCCGCGGUAAUACGGAGGGUGCAAGCGUUAAUCGGAAUUACUGGGCGUAAAGCGCACGCAGGCGGUCUGUCAAGUCAGAUGUGAAAUCCCCGGGCUCAACCUGGGAACUGCAUUCGAAACUGGCAGGCUAGAGUCUUGUAGAGGGGGGUAGAAUUCCAGGUGUAGCGGUGAAAUGCGUAGAGAUCUGGAGGAAUACCGGUGGCGAAGGCGGCCCCCUGGACAAAGACUGACGCUCAGGUGCGAAAGCGUGGGGAGCAAACAGGAUUAGAUACCCUGGUAGUCCACGCCGUAACGAUGUCGACUUGGAGGUUGUGCCCUUGAGGCGUGGCUUCCGGAGCUAACGCGUUAAGUCGACCGCCUGGGGAGUACGGCCGCAAGGUUAAAACUCAAAUGAAUUGACGGGGGGCCCGCACAAGCGGUGGAGCAUGUGGUUUUAUUCGAUGCAACGCGAAGAACCUUACCUACUCUUGACAUCCAGAGACUUUCCAGAGAUGGAUUGGUGCCUUCGGGAACUCUGAGACAGUGCUGCAUGGCUGUCGUCAGCUCGUGUUGUGAAUGUUGGGUUAAGUCCGCCACGAGCGCAACCCUUUAUUCUUUUGUGCCAGCGGUUCGCCGGGAACUCAAGGAACUGCAGUGAUAACCUGAGGAGGUGGGGAUGACUCAGUCACUUGUCCUACGAGUAGGGCUCACCCACGGGUGCCUACAAUUGC
This 1197-nucleotide ribosomal RNA is filed under the name Enterobacter asburiae. Its description in RNAcentral is "bacterial SSU rRNA". It matches the Rfam family "Bacterial small subunit ribosomal RNA", at positions 36 to 1234 of the family's 1533-position model. Lineage: Bacteria; Pseudomonadati; Pseudomonadota; Gammaproteobacteria; Enterobacterales; Enterobacteriaceae. The record is from RNAcentral.